This 460-nucleotide ribosomal RNA is filed under the name uncultured bacterium. RNAcentral's name for it is "partial 16S ribosomal RNA". It matches the Rfam family "Bacterial small subunit ribosomal RNA", at positions 338 to 795 of the family's 1533-position model. The record is from RNAcentral.
CCUACGGGUGGUAGCAGUGAGGAAUAUUGGUCAAUGGGCGCGAGCCUGAACCAGCCAAGUAGCGUGAAGGAUGACUGCCCUACGGGUUGUAAACUCCUUUUAUAAAGGAAUAAAGUGAGGCACGUGUGCCUUUUUGUCUGUACUUUAUGAAUAAGGAUCGGCUAACUCCGUGCCAGAAGCCGCGGUAAUACGGAGGUUCCGGGCGUUAUCGGGAUUUAUUGGGGUUAAAGGGUGCGUAGAUGGGUUGUUAAGUCAGUUGUGAAAGUUUGCGGCUCAACCGUAAAAUUGCAAUUGAUACUGGCAGUCUUGAGUACAGUUGAGGUAGGCGGAAUUCGUGGUGUAGCGGUGAAAUGCGUAGAUAUCACGAAGAACUCCGAUUGCGAAGGCAGCUUACUAAACUGCCACUGACAUUGAUGCUCGAAAGUGUGGGUAGCAAACAGGAUUAGAUACCCGAGUAGUC